CCCUUAGAUGUCCUGGGCUGCACGCGCGCUACACUGAUGUGUCCAGUAAGCACCUAACCUCUUCCGAAAGGAACGGGUAACCUUUGCAAAGCACAUCGUGAUGGGGAUAGAUUAUUGCAAUUAUUAGUCUUGAACGAGGAAUUCCUAGUAAGAACAAGUCAUCAGCUUGUGUUGAUUACGUCCCUGCCCUUUGUACACACCGCCCGUCGCUCCUACCGAUUGAAUGUUCCGGUGAGCUCUUCGGACUGCGCGGUCUGCAGUUUCUGCGUUCCGUGCGGAAAGUUGCGCAAACCUUAACAUUUAGAGGAAGGAGAAGUCGUAACA
RNAcentral lists this ribosomal RNA (324 nucleotides) under uncultured eukaryote. RNAcentral's name for it is "partial 18S ribosomal RNA". It matches the Rfam family "Eukaryotic small subunit ribosomal RNA", at positions 1470 to 1796 of the family's 1831-position model. The record is from RNAcentral.